CUUGUACACACCGCCCGUCACACCAUGGGAGUUGGCUUUUCCUGAAGACGGUGCGCUAACCCGCAAGGGAGGCAGCCGGCCACGGUAGGGUCAGCGACUGGGGUGAAGUCGUAACAAGGUAGCCGUAGGGGAACCUGCGGCUGGAUCACCUCCUUU
RNAcentral lists this ribosomal RNA (156 nucleotides) under Bradyrhizobium japonicum. RNAcentral's name for it is "partial 16S ribosomal RNA". It matches the Rfam family "Bacterial small subunit ribosomal RNA", at positions 1380 to 1533 of the family's 1533-position model. Lineage: Bacteria; Pseudomonadati; Pseudomonadota; Alphaproteobacteria; Hyphomicrobiales; Nitrobacteraceae. The record is from RNAcentral.